CACCGCGUAGUGUAGUGGUUAUAGCACGCUCGACUGACAAUCGAGAGGGUCCGGGUUCGAGUCCCGUAGGCGGCGA
This 76-nucleotide transfer RNA is filed under the name Portunus trituberculatus (swimming crab). RNAcentral's name for it is "tRNA-Val". The stretch from base 8 to 67 matches the Rfam family "tRNA", at positions 8 to 63 of the family's 71-position model. From Rfam's summary of the family: Transfer RNA (tRNA) molecules are approximately 80 nucleotides in length. Their secondary structure includes four short double-helical elements and three loops (D, anti-codon, and T loops). Further hydrogen bonds mediate the characteristic L-shaped molecular structure. tRNAs have two regions of fundamental functional importance: the anti-codon, which is responsible for specific mRNA codon recognition, and the 3' end, to which the tRNAs corresponding amino acid is attached (by aminoacyl-tRNA synthetases). tRNAs cope with the degeneracy of the genetic code in two manners: having more than one tRNA (with a specific anti-codon) for a particular amino acid; and 'wobble' base-pairing, i.e. permitting non-standard base-pairing at the 3rd anti-codon position. The record is from RNAcentral. Lineage: Eukaryota; Metazoa; Arthropoda; Malacostraca; Decapoda; Portunidae.